ACUCAUAUAUUUUAUAUGGAAUUUAAUAUUGAAGAUAUUAGGGUGAAUUAGUUAAUUCUGUGAGUA
Molecule: transfer RNA, 66 nt
Filed under: Marmessoidea bispina
Lineage: Eukaryota; Metazoa; Arthropoda; Insecta; Phasmatodea; Lonchodidae
Description: tRNA-Phe
Source: RNAcentral